This 616-nucleotide ribosomal RNA is filed under the name uncultured bacterium. Its description in RNAcentral is "bacterial SSU rRNA". It matches the Rfam family "Bacterial small subunit ribosomal RNA", at positions 338 to 944 of the family's 1533-position model. The record is from RNAcentral.
CCUACGGGAGGCAGCAGUGGGGAAUUUUGGACAAUGGACGCAAGUCUGAUCCAGCCAUGCCGCGUGCGGGAAGAAGGCCUUCGGGUUGUAAACCGCUUUUGUCAGGGAAGAAACGGCUUUCUCUAAUACAGAGAGCUAAUGACGGUACCUGAAGAAUAAGCACCGGCUAACUACGUGCCAGCAGCCGCGGUAAUACGUAGGGUGCAAGCGUUAAUCGGAAUUACUGGGCGUAAAGCGUGCGCAGGCGGUUAUGCAAGACAGAGGUGAAAUCCCCGGGCUCAACCUGGGAACUGCCUUUGUGACUGCAUAGCUAGAGUACGGUAGAGGGGGAUGGAAUUCCGCGUGUAGCAGUGAAAUGCGUAGAUAUGCGGAGGAACACCGAUGGCGAAGGCAAUCCCCUGGACCUGUACUGACGCUCAUGCACGAAAGCGUGGGGAGCAAACAGGAUUAGAUACCCUGGUAGUCCACGCCCUAAACGAUGUCAACUGGUUGUUGGGAGGGUUUCUUCUCAGUAACGAAGCUAACGCGUGAAGUUGACCGCCUGGGGAGUACGGCCGCAAGGUUGAAACUUAAAGGAAAUUGACGGNNGNGAGNGCGAGAGACGACGAGGAGGAGG